CCCGUUCGUUCUCCGUUCCGCUACUCACCGAUUUAUAUCUCUCGGCUCCUCCAUUCCUCGCCCCUCCUCCUCCUCUCUAAUUCCAGUCAAUUCCCAAUCCUGGAGACUGAGCGGCACAAAAGGAAUGGCACGGUAAGUGGAUUCCAUCUCAGAUCUCCUCUUCUCCUCCUUGCAGCUACCGAGUGAUCUCUGGACGCAGCGGUUUAUCGAUCUCUUCCUGGCCUUGUUGGUCCCUCUUUCAUGGUGGAUUAGAUCGAUUGCUCCUUUCUGUUUGAGGUUACAAAGCGGGAAUCGGUCGAUAAACCUCUGCAUCCGGACUUCAGUGUACAUCCAUCCAUCAGACCUCUCGUUCCCUCACUUCGCUUUGGUUUUUCCCUUAAAUUUCUGAGAUAGAUGAUUGGGGACUAAGGAAGUAGUUCGAGUGAGCUGUUAGCGCUGUUUGAUGUGAUCCAUUUGAUGCAGAUCGUGAUUGAUUUUUGCAGAUAUGAUGAAGUGAAAGCCAAGCCAUGAGACUGAUUGUGGACCACUUCUACAGCAUUUUAUGUUGUACUACUUCAAUACUUGUUCGACUGUUCGAUGCAGUGGAUUGAUUUCUUAGCAGUGAUUACGGGUCCUCCCUGAAACAGUCAUUUGUUCUGUGACAUCAAUGCAGCAGACAUGUUAAAAGGGAAGAGACUCAGGGAUGAAAGAGGCGAUGCAUCCCAGACGCUAUUAAUGGUUGUCCUCAUCUAGCUUUAGCUGGUCUAUUAGACGUAAGUUAUCUGAAAGAAAUCUGAUCCGCUAUCAUCCCUUGUCAAGAAGGGUGAGAAGACCGUCAAACGUUUAUUGUAUAUUUAUUUACCUCGGCCUAAUGCUGGGCUCAAACCCAACUCCUUUGUGAGCAGAACGAAUCGGGCUCAAACAACUAACUACAGUAUGUUAAUGUGACGCUACAUGAGUUGGGCUAAAGCUUCGCACGUUGCGGAUCAAAGCUAUGCCUUUGUGUCGUCCGGGGCCAGCGGCGGAGGUUGCCGCGGGUGAGGAGCUCCCUGUCGUCUUGGGUGGUGAUGUCAGACAUGACGAUGACUCCGUGGAUUACACCACCACGAUAAAUUUGAUUUAAUCCCUUUCGCCCCGUUGAUGCUCUUUGAUUGAUUCCAGUGGCUUAUCUUAUGGUGGAGCAGUUUCCGAACAAGCUGGUAGAGUAUUGUCUCCGCAAGUAGCGGUCUCCACUUCACCGACUAGUGACUGCAUGAUACGGCCCCUCUUUGCGAAUGGCCGAUGGACGCCUCUCCGGAUGGAUGGAAGUACGUUGCAACGCCGAGACUCUCUCACCAUAAACAUACGUACCUCAUAAGACCAGGAAGUCAAGAUUCUACGCUCCUAAAAUAAUCAUCAACGUGAUGACAGCGGGCAAGCAUUAUUGAGGUUGUCUCUGAAUCACCCUAUGGACGAACAUAGGGUUCGGAUCAUUCGGCUUCAUCUCAUCCCCUACCUCUCUCAAAAAUGACUUGGAACUGCACCUCCUAAACUGGAAGUCGGGGGUGGCAUCACGGCACCAUCCAAAGUGACCUAGAAACACUCAUCAUAUCUACCUCUCUUUGGACCAACACUCGUAUCUAUCUCUGUCUCUCUUGUUUAGAGAAAUCAUAUCUUUAGUCAAAAUAUCAUGUCUCUUUUAAUUUAUAAUCAUAUAUAUAUAUAUAUAUAUAUAAAAGCAUAAAAUCUGUAAUAUAUUAUAUUAUAGUUUUUGAGUGAAUCGUAAGAUGAUGGACACAAAUGUGGUGUCACUAUAACUAUUGAGACCGAGAUUUAGCAGACGAUUUGGUAUCAUCCGCAGCACUCCAUGCUCUGUGCUUUGCUAAUGGAGGAACUCAGGUACGACUCUUCCUUGUGAUGCUGAAUGCAGCUCGACUUGGGCCUGACCCGAUGAAUCUGAGCUCCUCUCUCAUCCAUGAACCAAAGGGCGGGCAUCAGUGCCGGGAGAAGGAGAUCUUCUCGGUCAACCUGGAAAGCAGAGGACUGCAAGUUCCGUGCCCUUGUCAUGGUAUCUCCACCACCCUUUUGGGCACAUCACAUCAACCAUUCUCCACCGUUGGCAUGUCCCUUCCCUUCUCCCCCACGCUAUAAAUGGGGGAAGCCCGGCGCUCCUCACUCUCAGCCAAAGGGCGAGGAGAAAGAGAGAGACAGACGCACGCAGAAAUGGGAGGAGGUCAGUCGUCUUCCAGGUCUUCUUCCUGCUUCUUCUUAUUCAGGUCGCAUGGCAGAGACGAAGAAGCUGAUGGCGAGCCGAAGUACACGUCGAGGAAGGUCCGGCCGAGCGACGAGGACCGAGGCCGCUGGGUUGGCGAGCCGGACGUGGAUGUGAAGGCUUCCGCCUUCAUUGCCAAGUUCCAUGAGACUCGUUUCAUGGACCUCGAAAGGCAAACCAUGGUGGUGUGAUGUGUGAUUCACUUCAGCUUCCUCAUCAUAGUACAAUACCUAUGCUCUCUCUCUCUCUCUCUCUCUCUCUCUCUCUAUCUUCCUUGUAGUUUGCUUGAUGUUGCAAAGUGUGUAGGCUGUAAUGAUUGAUUAGGAGAAUAAAACCGUAAUUAUAUUAA
Molecule: long non-coding RNA, 2579 nt
Organism: Musa acuminata AAA Group (dessert banana)
Lineage: Eukaryota; Viridiplantae; Streptophyta; Magnoliopsida; Zingiberales; Musaceae
Exons: 4
Source: RefSeq, a predicted model, not a curated record